CCUGCGAGAGCUCAGAGAGAUUGCAUGAGUGGAAAGCUGGCAAAUUCCUUGUUUCCAUGUUUUUUGUUUUGAUAACGAAAGCAGCAGGACAAGGUGAAAGCCAGCAUUUGAGGGUGUCUGAGCUCAUUUUUAGGCUGCAGUUCUUCAUGACAUUGAAUUCCAGUUAUUUUAGGGUCAAGGAUGUCACCCUCUAGUGUUUUCUUCCUCCUAAUAUUAGUUUCCAUGGUGGACACCAAAACCUCAUCUGAAAAAGGGGUCAUUCCCAUUAACCCCAGUUUCACCAUGAAAACCCAAGAGAUGACACAUCCAUUUUCAGAUAACCAAGACCAUGGGAACCCCAAAUUUGGAUUCCCUGCUCUAUUCCUAUGGGACACGCCAGGGGGAUGAAACCAACCCCAAACAUGACGAUCGGACAUCCGAGAUCACCCCCUCUGUUCCCUUCACCUUCUAAGGGAAAACAUACCAAACUGUGUUUGUAGGUCACCCCAAAUUCCAUAGUUUUCAGAAAUUCCUCCAUUUUUCCAAAUUUUUGCUCCAUUUCUACUUAAUUUUUCACUCAUGUAUGUGGGUGUCUGUGUGUAUGUGUGUGUAUCCCCCCAGAAUCAACCCUUCUUAAAUUCAUAGUGGGUUUUAUCCUUGGGCAUUGAAACAUCUUCAGAUGGGUGGGGAACUUGAGGGGCUGGUGGUAUUGGGAGGGUUGAAG
This 703-nucleotide long non-coding RNA is filed under the name Cyanistes caeruleus (blue tit). RNAcentral describes it as "lncRNA (ENSCCEG00000002533.1)". Lineage: Eukaryota; Metazoa; Chordata; Aves; Passeriformes; Paridae. The record is from RNAcentral.